CAAAGACUGAUUUGUGGCUGCGAUCUCUGCAAGAAGAGGAACAUCGAUAACAAAUGCUGUGGGUCAACUGCGACCUUUCGUCGCGCCAGCGAUUCCAGUUUCGAAGAAGCAUAGUAAUCGUGACAUUCCGCAUAUUUGAACUGUGCGUAAUUGUAAUAAUAUUUGCACGCGGUUGCCAGCGGAAGGUUAAAAUUAGACAUUCCCUAACACCGAAACACAUGUGUACUUGUGAUAUAUUGGCUGACGUAAUCUUAUCGAUGGUAAAGGCGUGGAUCGAACCAGGAGCAUCUGUCAGUUGCCUGCAGAACACGCCCGCUUCAGCUUUGCGGAAUACGCAUAUAUCCCGUUACUUUUACUUACAAAAGAGCUUUUUGGCAUUUUGCCUGAUUGCAUCAGCCAUGGCUCACCCAACUGUAUCAUCCAAUCCGCAAUUUCAAAUUGUCUCCCAGGGUGCCAAUCUGUUCUCUACCAACUUUGUUAAGGCUAUAGCAAAGGACCAGCAGCAACAGGAAAACCUGAUAUGUUCUCCUUUGAGUCUUACCGUCGCUCUGAGCAUGGCUGCUGUCGGUUCCGCCGGAAACACCGAGGCGCAAUUUAAGGAGGUUCUUAAGCUCCCGGCUUCGAAGACAGAGUCCUUGGCUGGCUAUCAAACCCUUAUCGACACUUUGAACAAUGUCGAGAAUGUUACCUUGAAGCUCGCCAACAAGAUGUUUAUCGCUGAAAACUUUGCGGUGAAACCUGAGUACAAACAGAACCUCCAGACGUACUACCAUUCUGACAUCGACUCGGUGAACUUUGGUGAACCCCAAAAAGCUGCGGAUACCAUCAACGCUUGGUGCAAGGAAAAAACCAACGAUCGCAUCGACGGCGUUGUUACUCCCAAUGAUGUGGGUCCAUCGACUGCAUUAGUACUCGCGAACGCGGUGUAUUUCAAAGGCAAUUGGGCUACCCAGUUCGAUCCAUUACUUACCAGCGAUCGUCCGUUCCACGUUGACGCCAGCACUGUGAAGAAUGUUCCUACCAUGUUCAGAAAAGGCAACUACAAAUUCGCCGAGCUGCCGCAGUACGAGGCUAAAUGCAUCGAGCUGCCGUAUGCGAAUAAGGAUAUCAGCAUGGUGAUCAUCCUGCCUGACAAGGUCGAUGGGUUGCCAGCAUUGACCGAAAGACUCGACGAAGUUACCAACGAGUGCAACAAUCUGCUCAGUCGCGCUUACGAACGUGAAAUUGAAGUGUUUCUACCCAAAUUCAAAACUGAGGUCAAGAUGCAGCUUGGAGAUCUGUUGACCCAAAAGAUGGGCCUUACUGAGCCAUUUAGCGAUGGUGCUAACUUUAGUGGGAUCUCGGACGUACCUUUGAAGAUCAGCAAAGUCAUACAGAAAGCUUUCAUUGAAGUCAACGAGGAGGGUAGUGAAGCUGCUGCCGUCACUGCAACCGUACUGAAGACAUUUUCAGCUCGCAGGAAGAAUAACAUAUUCCUAAUAAACAAUCCGUUUCUCUACAUGAUCGUUAAAUCAACCAACAGCGAGACUGGGGGUAGAAUAAAUUUGUUCGUUGGAUAUGUCGUUGAACCGACUGUGUGACGCUGUAACUUCACGAAGGACCCUUAAACUGACUGAUAAUCAAGAUAUAUAAGAAUCGAGAUGGUGAAUUAUUCCCUUUUAGCCCAUCAAGCGCCCAAGUUUAACGUCGAUCAUCCAUUCGUCUACGGCAUCAUUCAUUCGGAAUCGAACGAUAAAUUCCUUGUGUUG
This 1748-nucleotide unclassified non-coding RNA is filed under the name Ooceraea biroi (clonal raider ant). Its description in RNAcentral is "serpin B6, transcript variant X12". The record is from RNAcentral. Lineage: Eukaryota; Metazoa; Arthropoda; Insecta; Hymenoptera; Formicidae.